GGCGUGCCUAAUACAUGCAAGUCGAGCGAACAGACGAGGAGCUUGCUUCUCUGACGUUAGCGGCGGACGGGUGAGUAACACGUGGAUAACCUACCUAUAAGACUGGGAUAACUUCGGGAAACCGGAGCUAAUACCGGAUAAUAUAUUGAACCGCAUGGUUCAAUAGUGAAAGACGGUUUUGCUGUCACUUAUAGAUGGAUCCGCGCCGCAUUAGCUAGUUGGUAAGGUAACGGCUUACCAAGGCAACGAUGCGUAGCCGACCUGAGAGGGUGAUCGGCCACACUGGAACUGAGACACGGUCCAGACUCCUACGGGAGGCAGCAGUAGGGAAUCUUCCGCAAUGGGCGAAAGCCUGACGGAGCAACGCCGCGUGAGUGAUGAAGGUCUUCGGAUCGUAAAACUCUGUUAUUAGGGAAGAACAAAUGUGUAAGUAACUAUGCACGUCUUGACGGUACCUAAUCAGAAAGCCACGGCUAACUACGUGCCAGCAGCCGCGGUAAUAACGUAGGUGGCAAGCGUUAUCCGGAAUUAUUGGGCGUAAAGCGCGCGUAGGCGGUUUUUUAAGUCUGAUGUGAAAGCCCACGGCUCAACCGUGGAGGGUCAUUGGAAACUGGAAAACUUGAGUGCAGAAGAGGAAAGUGGAGUUCCAUGUGUAGCGGUGAAAUGCGCAGAGAUAUGGAGGAACACCAGUGGCGAAGGCGACUUUCUGGUCUG
This 714-nucleotide ribosomal RNA is filed under the name uncultured Staphylococcus sp. Its description in RNAcentral is "bacterial SSU rRNA". It matches the Rfam family "Bacterial small subunit ribosomal RNA", at positions 41 to 736 of the family's 1533-position model. Lineage: Bacteria; Bacillati; Bacillota; Bacilli; Caryophanales; Staphylococcaceae. The record is from RNAcentral.